AGUGAACGCUGGCGGCAUGCCUAAUACAUGCAAGUCGAGCGGCAACACGAGGAGAUUGCUCCCCUCGCGUUACCGGCGGACGGGUGAGUAACACGUAGCUAACCUACUGAUAGGGCUGAGGUAGCUUCGGGAACCCGAAUAUAGUACAGGAUAUUAGAUUGAACCGCAGGGAUCAAUAGUGCACGCGCAUUUAGCUGACCCUACUAGCUAGUACCGCGCCGCAUUAGCUAGUGGGUAAGGUAACGGCUUACCAAGGCAACGAUGCGUAGCCGACCUGAGAGGGUGAUCGGCCACACUGGAACUGAGACACGGCCCAGACUCCUACGGGAGGCAGCAGUAGGGAAUAUUCGGCAAUGGGCGAAAGCCUGACGGAGCAAUGCCGCGUGUGUGAAGAAGGUCUUCGGAUUGUAAAACUCUUUUAUCAGGGAAGAACAAACUUGUAAGUAACUAUGCACGGCUUGACGGUACCGAAUCAGAAAGCAACGGCUAACUACGUG
RNAcentral lists this ribosomal RNA (497 nucleotides) under uncultured bacterium. RNAcentral describes it as "partial 16S ribosomal RNA". It matches the Rfam family "Bacterial small subunit ribosomal RNA", at positions 29 to 507 of the family's 1533-position model. The record is from RNAcentral.